Molecule: unclassified non-coding RNA, 321 nt
Filed under: Coprinopsis urticicola
Lineage: Eukaryota; Fungi; Basidiomycota; Agaricomycetes; Agaricales; Psathyrellaceae
Description: partial internal transcribed spacer region
Rfam family: Eukaryotic small subunit ribosomal RNA (bases 1-46)
Source: RNAcentral
AAGUCGUAACAAGGUUUCCGUAGGUGAACCUGCGGAAGGAUCAUUAUUGAAUAAAUCUGGCGUGAGGUUGUAGCUGGCCCUCUGGGGCAUGUGCACGCCUUCGUCACCUUUAUCUUUCCACCUGUGCACACACUGUAGUCCUGGAUACCUCUCGCUGCAAGGCGGAUGCAGAGCCUGCGCCCCUCCUGGUGCGCGCUUGCUCUGAAUUUCCAGGUCUACGAAUCUUUACACACCCCUAAACGAAUGUCAUAGAAUGUAUAUCACUGGGCCUUUGUGCCUAUAAACCUUAUACAACUUUCAACAACGGAUCUCUUGGCUCUC